Molecule: ribosomal RNA, 640 nt
Filed under: uncultured bacterium
Lineage: Bacteria
Description: bacterial SSU rRNA
Rfam family: Bacterial small subunit ribosomal RNA
Source: RNAcentral
AGAGUUUGAUUCUGGCUCAGGAUGAACGCUAGCGACAGGCCUAACACAUGCAAGUCGAGGGGCAUCGGGGCGAGGAGCAAUCCUUGCCGCUGGCGACCGGCGCACGGGUGAGUAACGCGUAUGCGACCUGCCCGUUGCAGGGGGAUAAUCGGGAGAAAUCCCGUCUAAUACCGCGUAAUGCCGCGGGGCUGCAUGGCCCUGCGGCCAAAGGAAGCGAUUCCGGCAACGGAUGGGCAUGCGUGACAUUAGCUAGUUGGCGGGGCAACGGCCCACCAAGGCGACGAUGUCUAGGGGUUCUGAGAGGAAGGUCCCCCACACUGGUACUGAGACACGGACCAGACUCCUACGGGAGGCAGCAGUGAGGAAUAUUGGUCAAUGGGCGCGAGCCUGAACCAGCCAAGUCGCGUGAGGGAUGACGGCCCUACGGGUUGUAAACCUCUUUUGUCGGGGAGCAAAUUCCGCCACGCGUGGCGGAGUCGAGAGUACCCGAAGAAAAAGCAUCGGCUAACUCCGUGCCAGCAGCCGCGGUAAUACGGAGGAUGCGAGCGUUAUCCGGAUUUAUUGGGUUUAAAGGGUGCGUANGCGGACUGUCAAGUCAGCGGUAAAAUACGGGGGCUCAACCUCCGCCCGCCGUUGAAAC